This 892-nucleotide ribosomal RNA is filed under the name uncultured bacterium. Its description in RNAcentral is "bacterial SSU rRNA". It matches the Rfam family "Bacterial small subunit ribosomal RNA", at positions 505 to 1397 of the family's 1533-position model. The record is from RNAcentral.
GUGCCAGCCGCCGCGGUAAUACGUAGGUGGCAAGCGUUGUCCGGAUUUAUUGGGCGUAAAGCGAGCGCAGGCGGUUUCUUAAGUCUGAUGUGAAAGCCUUCGGCUCAACCGAAGAAGUGCAUCGGAAACUGGGAAACUUGAGUGCAGAAGAGGACAGUGGAACUCCAUGUGUAGCGGUGAAAUGCGUAGAUAUAUGGAAGAACACCAGUGGCGAAGGCGGCUGUCUGGUCUGUAACUGACGCUGAGGCUCGAAAGCAUGGGUAGCAAACAGGAUUAGAUACCCUGGUAGUCCAUGCCGUAAACGAUGAGUGCUAGGUGUUGGAGGGUUUCCGCCCUUCAGUGCCGCAGCUAACGCAUUAAGCACUCCGCCUGGGGAGUACGACCGCAAGGUUGAAACUCAAAGGAAUUGACGGGGGCCCGCACAAGCGGUGGAGCAUGCGGUUUAAUUCGAAGCAACGCGAAGAACCUUACCAGGUCUUGACAUCCUUUGACCACUCUAGAGAUAGAGCUUUCCCUUCGGGGACAAAGUGACAGGUGGUGCAUGGUUGUCGUCAGCUCGUGUCGUGAGAUGUUGGGUUAAGUCCCGCAACGAGCGCAACCCUUAUUACUAGUUGCCAGCAUUAAGUUGGGCACUCUAGUGAGACUGCCGGUGACAAACCGGAGGAAGGUGGGGACGACGUCAAAUCAUCAUGCCCCUUAUGACCUGGGCUACACACGUGCUACAAUGGAUGGUACAACGAGUUGCGAGACCGCGAGGUUUAGCUAAUCUCUUAAAACCAUUCUCAGUUCGGAUUGUAGGCUGCAACUCGCCUACAUGAAGCCGGAAUCGCUAGUAAUCGCGGAUCAGCAUGCCGCGGUGAAUACGUUCCCGGGCCUUGUACACACCGCCCGU